This 274-nucleotide ribosomal RNA is filed under the name uncultured bacterium. RNAcentral's name for it is "partial 16S ribosomal RNA". It matches the Rfam family "Bacterial small subunit ribosomal RNA", at positions 523 to 796 of the family's 1533-position model. The record is from RNAcentral.
AUACGGAGGGGGCUAGCGUUGUUCGGAAUUACUGGGCGUAAAGCGCGCGUAGGCGGAUUGACAAGUUGGAGGUGAAAUCCCGGGGCUCAACCCCGGAACUGCCUUCAAAACUGUCAGUCUUGAGUUCGGAAGAGGUGAGUGGAAUUCCUAGUGUAGAGGUGAAAUUCGUAGAUAUUAGGAAGAACACCAGUGGCGAAGGCGACUCACUGGUCCGAUACUGACGCUGAGGUGCGAAAGCGUGGGGAGCAAACAGGAUUAGAAACCCCAGUAGUCC